Molecule: long non-coding RNA, 1157 nt
Organism: Lolium rigidum
Lineage: Eukaryota; Viridiplantae; Streptophyta; Magnoliopsida; Poales; Poaceae
Exons: 7
Source: RefSeq, a predicted model, not a curated record
GACCAGGACAUGCUCGACGACGAGCUCGUCCAGCCUCGUCUCGAGGGAAACGUCCUCGAAUCUUACCAUGAUGGCGCCCUGCAAGAAGAGACAUGGCGACCUGUUCAUCGGUGCUCCCUGGCUCUGUUACGGCGUCGACUACUGCAGGAGGAGCAAGGGCCGCCUUGAGCAUGGGAGUGAAGGAAGUGUUGCACCUCCAUGGUUGCAGCAGCGACGAAGCAGUGUUGUGCAGGUAACUUUGGAUUGUGUAAUGCUUGUCUUCCCUGUGUUGGGGGACAGCCAUUACUAGCAAGCAAGCAAGCAAGCUGGCAUGCAGGCAGGCAAUGGUGUCUUGUUUGUGUAACAAUGGCCGAGGUUCAGAGCGCAUCAGAGGAGGUGGAGCAAAGCGGUGGUACAGGGAGGUGGCCUCUGAGGAAAAAACAUGAUGAGUCACUGUGGUGAACAUCAUUGGCGAGACUUGCACAAGUGCACCACGUAGGCGCUCUGGUUACCUUGCUGUUUCAGUGGUGUUGCGGUGAUGGUGCUACCAUUCGGUUGUAUUCUGGUGGUGGAGGUGCCCUCAGCUGGUGCUGCGGUGGUGGUGCUGUGCCCUGGAGCUGCUGCCGGUGGUCCAUGGAGCUCUGUGGCUGCUGCUGUCCUUGGACGACAACGAUGAUGCUGGGGCUGGGCUCCUGAUGGUUGAACCCAUGCUGCGACAAGGAUGACUGAGGGCAUGGACAUGAAUUCAGUUUCGUGUCUCUACAUGAGGAUCUGAAGGCCAGGUGCAGGAGCUUGUCCUCAAGGCCCAUCGCGAUUACCUCGACGUAGGCGGUCAGGAGAUCGUCAACAUCAGCAGCAAAGGUGAAGAAGAAGAAGAUCGAUUCUGCUAUAUUCUUCUACUUUCUGAAUUUGUGCAACCCGCUUGGGGAGGGUGUUGGCGGACGCGCUUUGUGGCGGCAUGUUGGGCUUCUUUUGGUAAAGCUGGUGGUGCUGCUGGCCGUUUAAUUGGUUCCUGAAUGAUGUAGGUGGUGUGUCUUUUUUUUUCUCGAUAAAGGAUGCUUUAUUACAGGCGGUGUGUCUUGUGUGUGCUAUGAACCUGGUUACUAGUUGUGCUGCUGGAGUCUUAUUUUGUAGGACUUGAUCAUGUGUUUAACUGUCAAUGUUCAGUAAUUGAGAAA